Molecule: long non-coding RNA, 459 nt
Organism: Oncorhynchus nerka (sockeye salmon)
Lineage: Eukaryota; Metazoa; Chordata; Actinopteri; Salmoniformes; Salmonidae
Exons: 2
Source: RefSeq, a predicted model, not a curated record
CACCUAUCUGGAGAGGCCCAUCCAUAAGACAGUCACCCUCCUGGAAGCCGAUCAAGAAACCUGCAGACCCCUUUCACAGAAAUCACCGGUGAUUGGUGGGAGUGUAACUGACAGUUAGACUUACAGGUUAUGUCGUUGUCUUUUGUUUGAAUUGUUUACGUGUCCGCUGUGCGGGGGAAAUGAUAAUACAAGUGGAACUACGUAGCUAAUACUGUUGUAACGGGGAUCCUUAUUGUAGCAACACACUUUUGGAGGGAAGGCAAUCCUGCGCUGCGUUAGCUAAGUUUUCAUGUCAUCGGGUGUAGUUCAUAAAGGUUGAAGAGUGUAUGUUAGGAUGAAGUGUGAAUUCAUGCCAGGAAUAAUAAGUGUGAAGUUUGAUUUCCUCCCUUCUGUAAUAAGCAGCCAAUGAGGUGAUAAUUCUGACUAAAACUACAGAAUAAAGCCGCCAGUUAAAAUCAA